GCGGAAGGAGCCGGCGUCCCGGGCACAUCCCCAGGGUGGGCACCGCCAGGAGAUGGAUUGCCCAAGACCCUGGCCGCCUCCAGACAGUGUUAACCUCCUUCCUUGAGGACCUUUCCCUCAUCUUCCAGGUCAUGCAAGACCUGGGACCCCCAGGACCUCGGACGUCUGAGUAGGAAAAAAGGUCUAAAACCCAUGUGCUACAUGCCACAUGCCAGAGCGUGCAUCCUUCCCUAGGCCCUAAGUUCUUGGAUUGCCAUGUUCUCCUUAGAUCCUAACUUUUUC
RNAcentral lists this long non-coding RNA (282 nucleotides) under Cavia porcellus (domestic guinea pig). RNAcentral describes it as "lncRNA (ENSCPOG00000037607.1)". The record is from RNAcentral. Lineage: Eukaryota; Metazoa; Chordata; Mammalia; Rodentia; Caviidae.